UUAGGAUGUUUUUCACUUACCAUUUCAGGACCGUACAGGAAGCUCACGGGCACUCACAGAAAAACCUGCAGCCCAUGGUGAACUCUUUAUAAAGACGGUGGAGCAGAGUCACAAACCCCAUAUUUCCAGGUUCCUGCACAAACUGAAGGAAUGGUGGCAAAACCAGCCCUGCCAGAACACAGAGGAGACAGAGGCUCUGCAGCUGCUACUGAUGCCCUGGAGUGCCUACCUAGAACAGAGACUAGGCAAGAUUAAGAGACUAAAAAACAUGUUUAUUCAAUGACAGAAUUCCUUCUUCCAAAGCUUCUGUGAAGAAAAUGGUG
This 323-nucleotide long non-coding RNA is filed under the name Cyanistes caeruleus (blue tit). RNAcentral describes it as "lncRNA (ENSCCEG00000008150.1)". Lineage: Eukaryota; Metazoa; Chordata; Aves; Passeriformes; Paridae. The record is from RNAcentral.